CUCAGAUCCUAUUCACACAGUUCAACUGCCAUGGAGCCGAAGUCUUUAACUACACGAAUGGGCUCCAUGGCAUAGCUAUCUGGGUUAAUACAUUCACAUAAAGUCUGGUCCAUAGUCCAAAGGCAAGAGGCGGGCAAGCAGCCCCAUCAAAGGACACGUGGCGAGGCCGGUUUCGCCACAGUGAAUGUAGUGUCUGUUAGUUGGGCUUAUUCCCCCGUUCCCUCCACAGGCAAGAGGCAGGGAGUGGGAAUAAGC
Pelobates cultripes (western spadefoot toad) is the source of this 255-nucleotide non-coding RNA. The record is from the annotation of a GenBank genome assembly. NCBI's taxonomy places the organism in Eukaryota, Metazoa, Chordata, Amphibia, Anura, Pelobatidae.